Molecule: ribosomal RNA, 497 nt
Filed under: uncultured bacterium
Lineage: Bacteria
Description: partial 16S ribosomal RNA
Rfam family: Bacterial small subunit ribosomal RNA
Source: RNAcentral
GAUGAACGCUGGCGGCGUGCCUAAUACAUGCAAGUCGAGCGAACAGACGAGGAGCUUGCGCCUCUGACGUUAGCGGCGGACGGGUGAGUAACACGUGGAUAACCUACCUAUAAGACUGGGAUAACUUCGGGAAACCGGAGCUAAUAGCGGAGAAUAUAUUGCACCGCAUGGUUCAAUAGUGAAAGACGGUUUUGCGGUCACUUAUAGAGGGAUCCGGGCCGUAUUAGCUAGUUGGUAAGGUAACGGCUUAUCAAGGCAAGGAUGCGUAGCCGACCGGAGAGAGUGAUCGGCCACACUGGAACUGAGCCGCGGUCCAGACUCCUACGGGAGGCAGCAGUAGGGAAUCUUCCGCAAUGGGCGAAAGCAUGACGGAGCAACGCCGCGUGAGUGAUGAAGAUCUUCGGAUCGUAAAACUCUGUUAUUAGGGAAGAACAAAUGUGUAAGUAACUAUGCACGUCUUGACGGUACCGAGUCAGAAAGCCACGGCUAACUACGUG